This is a long non-coding RNA of Neltuma alba, 349 nucleotides long. RefSeq lists it as uncharacterized. NCBI's taxonomy places the organism in Eukaryota, Viridiplantae, Streptophyta, Magnoliopsida, Fabales, Fabaceae. The record is from RefSeq and is a predicted model, not a curated record. The transcript is spliced from 3 exons.
AACCCCUGCAUAGCAAAGCUUAUAUCAGGUCUAGUAAUUGUUAAAUAUGACAACUUACCUAUUAAGCGCCUAUAGGCAGUCGGUUCAGGUAGUAGUGGAUCAUCUUUCUCAUUCUUUGGAUUGCCACUCAAUCUUGUGCUCCUCUCGAUUGGAACACUAAGAGGCUUUGCUGCUGUCAAACCCAUGUCAGAUAAGAUAUCCAAGAUAAUCAUCAAACCAGAGAAAGUUUAUGACAACAAUGAAGACAAAGAGGAUGGAUGUAUCAUCGAAUCUUAUAGCAUGUUGAUUUUUGCCUAUCAGAUCAACGAUAUACCAAAAGCAAAAGAGUUUUUCUAGUGGGUGAUUCACC